CCACCGUCUCCUCCCUCCCUCUAAUGAAUUUUCCCUUAUAAAAUUUUCAGUUUUGCCUGUACAAACCUAAUGCCAGGAAAGCGUUGCGAAGUUUCACUGGCCUGUUUUUCUUGGUAUAGAUAGCUGGAAGCCAGAUGCUUGCACUGAGAUUGAACUCAUGUUGGACCAUUUUGCUUACCACCUUUAUCCCAUGUUGUACACAUUGGAUGACCAAGAUGUGCAGGAAGUGUGUGUUGGGUGGAUGUCUGGUCAGGAUAUCAUCUCUCAAAAUCUUUUUCGUACUGCACGAUGCAACAGAAAAAAGAAAAAAAUAAAAUAAAAACAAUCAAAAUA
This 333-nucleotide long non-coding RNA is filed under the name Elaeis guineensis (African oil palm). RNAcentral's name for it is "long non-coding RNA (EGUI_LNC006731)". Lineage: Eukaryota; Viridiplantae; Streptophyta; Magnoliopsida; Arecales; Arecaceae. The record is from RNAcentral.